AAACGUAGGAGGCUAGCGUUAUCCGGAUUUAUUGGGCGUAAAGCGCGUGCAGGCGGUUUGUCAAGUUGGAUGUGAAAGCUCCUGGCUUAACUGGGAGAGGUCGUUCAAAACUGACAGACUAGAGAAUGGGAGAGGGAGGUGGAAUUCCGGGUGUAGUGGUGAAAUGCGUAGAUAUCCGGAGGAACACCAGUGGCGAAAGCGGCCUCCUGGACCACUUCUGACGCUAAGACGCGAAAGCUAGGGUAGCAAACGGGAUUAGAGACCCCGGUAGUCCUAGCCGUAAACGAUGUAGACUUGGCGUUGGCGGAGUUAAAUCUGCCAGUGCCGUAGCUAACGCGAUAAGUCUACCGCCUGGGGACUACGACCGCAAGGUUAAA
This 377-nucleotide ribosomal RNA is filed under the name uncultured bacterium. RNAcentral's name for it is "bacterial SSU rRNA". It matches the Rfam family "Bacterial small subunit ribosomal RNA", at positions 523 to 898 of the family's 1533-position model. The record is from RNAcentral.